This 858-nucleotide long non-coding RNA is filed under the name Mus musculus (house mouse). Its description in RNAcentral is "predicted gene, 26953". The record is from RNAcentral. Lineage: Eukaryota; Metazoa; Chordata; Mammalia; Rodentia; Muridae.
ACCACCGAGUCCCCCGAGGCCCGCCCUCAGCGUGUCUUAUUCCAUUUUGAAGUCCCUGCCAUGCGGCAACACCUCGGUCACCUCACCACGGGCAUCAAGGGAAGUAGAAGGGUCCCGUUCCGCCAGCAGGGAGCGGCAGAGUUGCUGGAUCUCAUGGAGGCAUUUCCUCAACAGAGUCUCCUUUCUCUGUGACAACUCCAGCUUGUGUCAAGGUGACACACAAAACCAGCCAGUGCAGCCCCUCAGCAGAAACACAGGCUGCGUUUAUACUCAGCCAUCAUACAACCCUGAUGGAGACACACCCCAGGUACCACUGAGACAGAUCAGCCAUGUCCGUGUGAUGAGAACAGACGGAAUUCCAGCUAUCACAGAGAGAAAGACAGGAAUGAAAGGACUGUUGUGCCAAAGCAGUGACUCCCCAAGGAUAUGCAAACAGCAUCCAGAGCGACGUCGCGAUGAGAGUGCAGAGAUGCCCUGGGUUUGAGGCUGCGCUGGACGCCCCAGGUCUGGGAUAAGGCCCAUAAGUGGAGGAAUGGUAAGGGCUGGGCGUGUGGAGGAAGGGAGUCAGAGAAACCACCCGCUACCCCACCCUCCAUGCCUGGGCGCAGUCCCUAUCCCAGAGAGUUACCUGCUAACCUUGUGGGUUGGUGUUGUACCGGAGUCCCCACGCCCAUGUGCAUCUAGCUGUGGGGGAAGGGAAGGGUCUUUGUUCCCCCUCAGACCGUGACUACCAGACCCUGAGCAUCCUCUGUGUUUCCAUCCCCAUGGUCCAUCCACUGGACCCUCACAUCUGGUCAUUGCGGGUUUGGAGCCCCGUCACCCACUCAGCGCGGGCCACCAUUGCCCUGGGACUGUGGG